UACGUAGGGGGCAAGCGUUGUCCGGAAUUAUUGGGCGUAAAGAGCGUGUAGGCGGUCCGGUAAGUCAGCUGUGAAAGUCAAGGGCUCAACCCUGGGAUGCCGGUGGAUACUGUCGGGCUCGAGUCCGGAAGAGGAGUGUGGAAUUCCUGGUGUAGCGGUGAAAUGCGCAGAUAUCAGGAGGAACACCAAUGGCGAAGGCAGCACUCUGGGACGUGACUGACGCUGAGACGCGAAAGCGUGGGGAGCGAACAGG
Molecule: ribosomal RNA, 253 nt
Filed under: uncultured bacterium
Lineage: Bacteria
Description: partial 16S ribosomal RNA
Rfam family: Bacterial small subunit ribosomal RNA
Source: RNAcentral